UACAACAUAUACAUUGAAUAUGGGCAUGGC
This 30-nucleotide non-coding RNA is filed under the name Mus musculus (house mouse). The record is from RNAcentral. Lineage: Eukaryota; Metazoa; Chordata; Mammalia; Rodentia; Muridae.